AAAAUUACCCUGUUUUUGGAACGAGGUAUUUUGUUCAGAACGAGGCUGGGUAAAAUUGCCUCGUUUACUAAACGAGGUAUUUUAUCCAAGAUAAUUAUUAGCGGUAUUUGCUGUCAACAAAUAGAGCCAUACAAAUAAUGUUCGGACCAUCAUGUGACCAAUUGCAGAUCUACAAAUUAGAUUAUUUAUUUGGGACAUGAUAUUGUUCAUAGUUAUGGCUUACUACACUGGAGUUCUAUUAUGUAUAAUAAACGCUUCCCAAGCGAAACAAAACAUAACAAUGUCACGUGACAAUAUUACAUAUGGCGGAUACAAGCGUUCUUUGAUUACAUGCUGUUUGGUUUGAUUAUUAAAUAAUACGGCAAUCUGUAUAUAUGGGAAAAGGAGAAUGAAUUUCCCCAAAUCCAAAACUAGAUGACUGGAAUAUUUAUUGAAUGGAAAGUAAAUAUUUUAUAAACAAAAAUAUUCGGAUUUGCAGUAUCCUAGCUUGGAUGGAUUUGUGAUUUGAAUCUCGAACUCAGUGUUUUAUACAUUUUAUUAUAAAAUUGUAAUAAAUGUUUUACAUGAAUGAAUAAAAUCUACAAUUUAAAACAGUACAAUAACAUUGUGAUUUGACGCUCUACAAAUCACUAAGACUAUAACAAUUGCUUGUUGAAAAAGCGUUAAUAAUAUGUUUUUUUCCAUUUAUUAUUUUUUAAAAAUAUAUUCAAAAAGAAUGCGUCUUUUACAGAUUUCAAUAUAACCACAAAUGGUUGAUUGUUUUAAUGCUAAGAUAAGUAUUAAUGGUUUGUAUUUGAAAAUCAAAUUAUAUAAGCGAAAAAUAGUAAGAUACAUUAUGUAUAUCUUAAAACACGCCCUUCUCAGUUACUACUUCGGCGAAUAUCGUUUGAUAAUUUAGAUGAUCAGAAUUAAACACCGUUUUGCUAUGUUAUUAUUUUUUUAUGAUUGGGUGGGGGUAUACUUAAUUAGGGGAUUGGAUUGAAAGAUUAUAGCUACCAUCUUAUGGAGACAUAAUGUGUGGUGCAUUUACGGUCUUAUAAAGCUCUAUUCUUACAUAAAGAAUUCUUGAUUCGCACGGAAGUGUUUUAGCCGUGAUCAUUUUAAGUCAUGCUUAUGCCAAGAUCUGGUUUCAAUAUUGGAUGUAUAUGCAAAUCACCCAGAAAAAGAUCAUGUAAUAACAAAAGAAAUUAUAAAAGAAAAAAAGGAAGAAGAAAUGGCUGGAAAAAAUGAUGAUAGAGCAGCUUUUUCUUGUUACCCACCUCGGAAGAUCAAGUUGAAAAGGGCUAUUGAUAUUGUGGAGACGUUUUCUCACAGAUCUUGCUUAUCAGACAAAGACUAUGCUGGAACACCAUUGAAAGAGUAUUUGCUGUAUGAUAACAACAAGAAAACCCAAGCAUCAAUUUAUUUUAUACUUCUGGGAAAGAAUGCAUUUGACCCAAUUUUUAAAUAUUUAUUUUUUGUUAUUAAUGUUAAAUUUUCUUCCAAAACACAAUUAGAUUUUAAUUCUCUUCAGAAAUGUAUGUAUAAUAUAGCAAGUAAAGUGGCAUAUAAAUCACUUAGAAUUUGGUCAGAAUCAUAAAGUAUUUAAUAGGCAUUACUAGAAACCAAAUGUAGAUCAAAUACACCCAGAAUUACAAAAAACCUUGACCUACAUAAAGGUGACUUUCCCUUGCUUAUGAAAUGAAAUACGGUUUAGUAUCCUACUUUUCUGUGUUCUUAGAGUGAUUCGACCCUACACCCUACUCUUAUAUCAAAUAUUUAAACUGUCAAGGGUUCUUUAACGGGAACCCGGGGGGGGGGGGGCAAUGAUUAACACGCACACAUUUGAUCGGGAAGUCUGUCAUUGAGUCAAAUAAUUCAAUUGUCAAGGCUUCUUCUAAGUGAACGCAGUGGGGAUGGUUUGGAUUCCGGGAAUGGGGGAGGGGGUGGUGGAUGGCCGAAUGGUAAGCAUGUGCGUGCGGUAUCAUACAGCCUGUCAUUGAGUCAACUGGCGUGGUUUCGAAUCCCCGGUUGUACGUGACAAGGAGUAGGGUCGCCUGUCCAAUCUUGUGGGUUUUCUACGGGACCUACGGUUUCCUCCCACUGCUAAAGACCCCUAUGCGCAACGAAUUAUUGAAAUAAAAUUAAACCAUAUGUUAAUCCCGAAAUGACCUAGUUUGUGUCAAGUGGACGUUAAACCCCAUUUCUCUCUCUCUCUCUCUUUUGAUUCCGGGCUUGUACCCAAUUAUCCCUUGCCAUAUCCAAGACUACUGACAAGUGGGAACUAUGCCGGAAAAUCCAGUUGAAAUUUCUCGGCCAACACCUUAUACUCACUGAACCACUGUGGCUUAUGACUUGUGAUUGUAUAUAAAUGUUUUGUACAUAUGAAAUUUUUUUAUUUCAAUCCUGUAAUCUUGAUGCUUUGCUUCUUUUAUUUACAAAAUAUUCAUUUUGUUUGGGGUUUUUUAAUGAGGAAAAGGUUUUACAUCAUUUUAUUACUCCUGCAAAAUAGUGCAUUUUUCUUUUGUUAGUUUUCUGUGUAUAUUAGUUAUUUCUAUAUGUCUCACAAAUCACUUGUAGUGUGAUUUUGUAGCACUUUUCAGUUUUUGAAAUUGUUUCAAUUUAGUGCAUAAUUAAUCUUAGUGCUUGGUUUGGAUGUUAUUAAAUUUAGAUAUUAUUUGAAUUAUAUAUUUUGGAGUAUGGGGUAGGGAUACUGUGUACAUAUCUUUAUAUUCUCAGUUCUUGUUUUGGGGUAAAGAACAAUUUAUAUAGCUAUUUUAUAUUUUGUGAUAGGUAAAGUGUGUGGGGUUAAGAACAAUUUAAAUAGCUAUGUUAUAUUUUGUGAUGGGUAAAGUGGUGUGUGUGUGUGUGUGUGUGUGUGUGUGUGGGGGGGGGGUCAUUAUAU
Patella vulgata (common limpet) is the source of this 2884-nucleotide long non-coding RNA. RefSeq lists it as uncharacterized. The record is from RefSeq and is a predicted model, not a curated record. NCBI's taxonomy places the organism in Eukaryota, Metazoa, Mollusca, Gastropoda, Patellidae. The transcript is spliced from 4 exons.